CAGUAGCACGGUAACACGAAGGGUGCAAGCGUUACUCGGAAUUACUGGGCGUAAAGCGUGCGUAGGUGGUGGUUUAAGUCCGUUGUGAAAGCCCUGGGCUCAACCUGGGAAUUGCAGUGGAUACUGGGUCACUAGAGUGUGGUAGAGGAUAGUGGAAUUUCCGGUGUAGCAGUGAAAUGCGUAGAGAUCGGAAGGAACAUCUGUGGCGAAGGCGACUAUCUGGGCCAACACUGACACUGAGGCACGAAAGCGUGGGGAGCAAACAGGAUUAGAUACCCGCGUAGUCCCUGUCUCUUAUACA
This 301-nucleotide ribosomal RNA is filed under the name uncultured bacterium. RNAcentral describes it as "partial 16S ribosomal RNA". It matches the Rfam family "Bacterial small subunit ribosomal RNA", at positions 509 to 808 of the family's 1533-position model. The record is from RNAcentral.